RNAcentral lists this unclassified non-coding RNA (219 nucleotides) under uncultured fungus. RNAcentral's name for it is "sequence contains ITS1". The record is from RNAcentral. Lineage: Eukaryota; Fungi.
GUAUUGAUUGCGUGUGACCGCAAAAAUAACAUUCUACACUGUAUCAAGUUUUGUGUGAAAACGUGAGCCCUCCUGCAAAGGGGACCCACGCGGUGAUGCACAAGGGGUGAAAUGGAUGUGUGAGAGUGCUCAGGCGUGCACGACCUUUUGAAAGGUCAGCGACAGCCCUUGUACCUUCGUUGUAUGAUAAUGAUCCUUCCGCAGGUUCACCUACGGAAA